This 253-nucleotide ribosomal RNA is filed under the name uncultured bacterium. RNAcentral describes it as "partial 16S ribosomal RNA". It matches the Rfam family "Bacterial small subunit ribosomal RNA", at positions 524 to 776 of the family's 1533-position model. The record is from RNAcentral.
UACGGAGGUGGCAAGCGUUGCUCGGAAUCACUGGGCGUAAAGGGCUCGUAGGCGGCCAACUAAGUCAGACGUGAAAUCCCUCGGCUUAACCGGGGAACUGCGUCUGAUACUGGAUGGCUUGAGUUUGGGAGAGGGAUGCGGAAUUCCAGGUGUAGCGGUGAAAUGCGUAGAUAUCUGGAGGAACACCGGUGGCGAAGGCGGCAUCCUGGACCAACACUGACGCUGAGGAGCGAAAGCCAGGGGAGCAAACGGG